RNAcentral lists this long non-coding RNA (339 nucleotides) under Rattus norvegicus (Norway rat). Its description in RNAcentral is "long non-coding RNA NONRATT002361". The record is from RNAcentral. Lineage: Eukaryota; Metazoa; Chordata; Mammalia; Rodentia; Muridae.
UAAACGGCAGAACUCUAACCGCUGUGUCUCGGGCGCCUCUCUGCCCCAGGGAUCCAAAAUCAGGUCACAGACGAACCUGAGAGAAUCGGGGGACCUGAGGUCACAAGCUCUGCCCUUUAGUGGCCCACUUUCUUCUAUUUGGCCUGUGCUGUUGCUGAUGUGGUCCUGGGAAGGAUCUCUCUAGUCCUUUAUGCCCACAGAUGGGGCAGGGUUGCCAUCUACCUUGGGAUAAAGCGGAAACCGCCCCCAGGCUGCUCAGAUUCCCCUGGAGUGUGAAACUGACCAGCUCUCGACCUCCUGAGGCCCUGAUGGCUGCCCUGCGACAGGCCACAGCGGCCG